CCUGCCCUUGGGUCCGGCAUAACCCCGGGAAACUGGGGAUAAUUCCGGAUAACGCACAUAUGCUGGAAUGCUUUAUGCGUCAAAUGGAUUCGUCUGCCCAAGGAUGGGUCUGCGGCCUAUCAGGUAGUAGUGGGUGUAAUGUACCUACUAGCCGACGACGGGUACGGGUUGUGAGAGCAAGAGCCCGGAGAUGGAUUCUGAGACAUGAAUCCAGGCCCUACGGGGCGCAGCAGGCGCGAAAACUUUACAAUGCGGGAAACCGUGAUAAGGGGACACCGAGUGCCAGCAUCAUAUGCUGGCUGUCCGGGUGUGUAAAAUACACCUGUUAGCAAGGGCCGGGCAAGACCGGUGCCAGCCGCCGCGGUAACACCGGCGGCCCGAGUGGUGAUCGUGAUUAUUGGGUCUAAAGGGUCCGUAGCCGGUUUGGUCAGUCCUCCGGGAAAUCUGACGGCUUAACCGUUAGGCUUUCGGAGGAUACUGCCAGGCUUGGAACCGGGAGAGGUAAGAGGUACUACAGGGGUAGGAGUGAAAUCUUGUAAUCCCUGUGGGACCACCUGUGGCGAAGGCGUCUUACC
RNAcentral lists this ribosomal RNA (575 nucleotides) under Methanosarcina sp. enrichment culture clone D01. Its description in RNAcentral is "bacterial SSU rRNA". It matches the Rfam family "Archaeal small subunit ribosomal RNA", at positions 108 to 681 of the family's 1478-position model. The record is from RNAcentral. Lineage: Archaea; Methanobacteriati; Methanobacteriota; Methanomicrobia; Methanosarcinales; Methanosarcinaceae.